Molecule: ribosomal RNA, 253 nt
Filed under: uncultured bacterium
Lineage: Bacteria
Description: partial 16S ribosomal RNA
Rfam family: Bacterial small subunit ribosomal RNA
Source: RNAcentral
GACGUAGGGCGCGAGCGUUGUUCCGGAUUUAUUGGGCGUAAAGAGCUCGUAGGCGGCUUGUCGCGUCGACUGUGAAAACCCGCAGCUCAACUGCGGGCCUGCAGUCGAUACGGGCAGGCUAGAGUUCGGUAGGGGAGACUGGAAUUCCUGUGUAGCGGUGAAAUGCGCAGAUAUCAGGAGGAACACCGGUGGCGAAGGCGGGUCUCUGGGCAGUAACUGACGCUGAGGAGCGAAAGCGUGGGGAGCGAACAGG